UCAAUCCUGCUUCUUCUCCCAUUUCUUCUUCCACGCCAGUUCUUUGACGCCAUUUUUUUCACAUUAGUGUGGACUACCACCCUUUCUUGUACUUUUGUACCCACUUCACACUACUCACACCACCACCACCACCACCGUCGCCGAUGAGGUCCCUCUCUGCCUCCGCCACCGUCGUCGAUGCUUUGGAGGCCCUGAAGACCUCUGACGACAACUUCAUUACCGUCUGGGACUGCAACCACUCCAAACUCAAUUUUGUUGUAUUACUGAUUAUAUAGAUAAUCAAGUGUUAAACAAGUACUAAAUGAUGGUUACAAGCACCUAGAUACCGUUUUGCUUUCAGUUUAAUUUCAAUCUCCAGACUCUCAUUUUUGCAGAUCAAUAUAUGUGGAGAAUAAGGAAUAAAACAAUAGCAUUUUGCAUACGUAUGCUAAAUGUUUUUUGUUGAGUUUUCUUGUAGAAAGAAAGUAAAAUUGAUGAAGCUAAUUUUCGCAUUUUCACAGGCAAAUUAAAAUCUGGAUAUGAUGUAAAUUGCUAUGAAGAAACUUACCAAUGCGAAAUCUGUACCUAGAACCCCACUUCAGAAAUUGUCAAUUGCUAGUCUUAAAUAAUUGUAGUCCACACUAACGUGAAAAAAAAUGGCAUGAAAGACUGGCAUGGAAGAAGAAACAGGAGAAGAAGCAGGAUUGAAAGGGAAAGGAAGGAGAAUACUCUUUGUAUGCCAUAAUCACCAUUUAAUUCUAGCUUUUUUUUAAUUAUUGGUUUAUUAAAUGUUUUUAAUUUAAAUUAAAUUCUGAUUAAUUUAAAUAAUGUGGCUGUCCACAUCUGAGGCCACAUAAGGUGGUAUAUAAAUGGAGUAAUGCUAUUCAUACCAUGUUUUUGUACCACAUUUUCAUACCACCUUAAGUGGCAUUUGAUGUGGACAACCGAGUAAUGCUAUUCAUACCAUGUUUUUGUACCACAUUUUCAUACAACCUUAGAUGGCAUUUGAUGUGGGCAGCCACAUCAUUUGAAUUAAUCAGAUUUUUAAAUUUAGUUCAUUAUUUAAUAAACUAAUAAUUAAGAAAAACUAGUUAAUUAAAUGAUGAUUGUGAUAUACGAGGAGUCUUUCUCCUUCAUUUCCAUGGGUUUUGUAAAAUUUUCAAAUGAUGUGCAUGUCCACAUCAGAUGCCACCUAAGGUGUGACAGCCCGUCCCGAAAUAUUUUAUCAAUUGUGUGAAAUGUCUAAUUUACCCUUGAGCGUUGUGUGAUGAUGUGUGGUUUAAGUUUUGGAUGUGGACCAAAUAUGUUAAGUUCUAAUUGUUUGGACCCAAUUAGGACUUAGAUUUUGUUUGUUUUUGGUUGGUGACCCAAGCUGGACCACACACACACACACACACACAAAUCGUUGACUCUCUUUCUCUCUCCUUCCCUCUCGGAUUUUCUUCCAUUUUUAUACAAUUGUACGGUCCACUCGUGAACCAACCCUUGCAGGCAUGGAUCAAGGUCGUGAAUGGUAUCUUUGGACUCCUUGCAAGCUCAAGGAAUCGAAUCUAUACCUUUGGUUAGACGUGAGGACUUGUCGAACGUGAGAUACCCGAGCUCCGGUGAGGGGUGGAGAUUCCUCCGACGUGAUCGCGAAGGUUUCAGGUAGUUUUGAGACUUAAGAAGGUAUUAUUCUUGCUUUUCUAGCUCGUUGGAUCAAUUUUGGAGUGGUUUUGACGUUAGAACUCUCGGGUUU
This 1717-nucleotide long non-coding RNA is filed under the name Malus domestica (apple). RNAcentral's name for it is "long non-coding RNA (MDOM_LNC000885)". Lineage: Eukaryota; Viridiplantae; Streptophyta; Magnoliopsida; Rosales; Rosaceae. The record is from RNAcentral.